This 468-nucleotide ribosomal RNA is filed under the name uncultured bacterium. RNAcentral describes it as "partial 16S ribosomal RNA". It matches the Rfam family "Bacterial small subunit ribosomal RNA", at positions 28 to 507 of the family's 1533-position model. The record is from RNAcentral.
GACGAACGCUGGCGGCGUGCUUAACACAUGCAAGUCGAACGGAAAGGCCCUGCUUUUGUGGGGUGCUCGAGUGGCGAACGGGUGAGUAACACGUGAGUAACCUGCCCUUGACUUUGGGAUAACUUCAGGAAACUGGGGCUAAUACCGGAUAGGAGCUCCUGCUGCAUGGUGGGGGUUGGAAAGUUUCGGCGGUUGGGGAUGGACUCGCGGCUUAUCAGCUUGUUGGUGGGGUAGUGGCUUACCAAGGCUUUGACGGGUAGCCGGCCUGAGAGGGUGACCGGCCACAUUGGGACUGGGAUACGGCCCAGCAUCCUACGGGAGGCAGCAGUGGGGAAUAUUGCACAAUGGGCGGAAGCCUUAUGCAGCAACGCCGCGUGCGGGAUGACGGCCUUCGGGUUGUAAACCGCUUUCGCCUGUGACGAAGCGUGAGUGACGGUAAUGGGUAAAGAAGCACCGGCUAACUACGUG